AAGAUUUUAAGUUAAAUUUUUAAACUAUUAAUUUUCAAAAUUAAAUAUAUAUUUUAUAAUAUAAAUCUUA
RNAcentral lists this transfer RNA (70 nucleotides) under Bombus pyrosoma. Its description in RNAcentral is "tRNA-Trp". The record is from RNAcentral. Lineage: Eukaryota; Metazoa; Arthropoda; Insecta; Hymenoptera; Apidae.